Molecule: long non-coding RNA, 7081 nt
Organism: Beta vulgaris subsp. vulgaris (sugar beet)
Lineage: Eukaryota; Viridiplantae; Streptophyta; Magnoliopsida; Caryophyllales; Amaranthaceae
Exons: 3
Source: RefSeq, a predicted model, not a curated record
CAACCUUUUAGCAUGUUCAAGUAUAUAAGUAAAUCCGAUAGUAGGAUUUUGUGAGGAAGAGGAGGGAAAAUCAGGGUUAGGAACAGUAGAGGGUUCCUUAGGAUUAGGAAUAGCAGGUUGUUCCUCUGUAUUGCGAAGAACUAUUUUAUUUUCCUUGGGAACAAGGGAGGUAGAUUUUGUGGAGGUAGGAGAAGGUUGGGAUUUUUAUGGAGAGGGAAGAGUAGGAGAAGCAGUUUGUAGGGUAGUCUCCAUGGGAACAUGAGAGGGUGCACUCAAGGGAGAAACAUAACUCGGAAAGUCUGCCUCCGUAAUUAAAACGGGCUCCUCCUCCUCCUCAUCAUCACCAUUAUCACCAAACACAAAGAUAGGUGAACUCAAUACCUUCAUAUUUCGAACCCUUUUACUUGUGCAAGGAGCUUUAGGAGCCGGUUGUUUCUUUUUCUCCAUUUCUCCAUUUCCGUAAUCUUCCCUUUUCCUUUUUCUUUUUCUAUUUUUUCUUUUUCAAUUUUUUCAUUUGCAAUUUUUUCAUUUUUCUUUCUUUCUUCUUCUUUGCCGAUUUCAUCCUAUUCACCAUCAUCAUCACUGUGUUCCCUAGAGAUGGGAACAACAAAUUCUUCAUCCUCAUUUGCAUUAUCAACCACAUUGACUCGGCCUUGAGUCACAAUUGCACCCACCACACUUAUGUUCACGUUAUUCAAAGCCUUUGAAUUUAAUAUAUUUCCCAUUGAAAUAUCGAUAGCGGACAAACCUUUAAGAUCAACCUUAAAUUUAAUUAAGAUUUCCGUAACUAAAGCACCAUAACUGUAAUAGCCCUAUUUUUAAAAGCGUUUAUUUAAACGUUAAAUAUAAUUAUUAAGUUAAUUAUGUUUCGCAAAUUCUUAUUUUAUUUGAGUUGUGGAAUGUGUUUUUUUUAUUUGAUUAUAUGAGAUUAUUUCUAUUGUUAUUAUUUUGUAUUUUGGGUUUUAUGUAAUUAGUUGAGCAAUAUUUCGCAAAUUAGAAACCAAGUUGUUUUUUUCGUGGGAAUUCAUGAGGUCGGUUUCCUCUAGUCUUCUUGUGGCUUCUUUAAUUGGGAAACAAAAACCCAUCUUCCUUUCUCUCUCUUUCCCGUGGUACACACAAAACCCCAAUCCCAUGGAAAACCCGAAAACCCUUUCUUCCUUUCUCUUCUCGCCUGAUGUCGCCGAAGUUUUCCUAUCUCGCCGGCGUCUUUAGUUCACCGGAGCCGCGUCGAUCGCCAGUGCUUUGCUUCACUCUCUCCCUCUUCGUCCUCCUCGCGCUUGCCCUGUUUGUCAAUGUUCGUCGGUGUACUGAUGUUCGCCAGUGGACGUCGGUUGGCGGGCUGCUGUUGUCCGUGGUCGAUCGUGUUGCCACCACUACUGUCGAUGCUUGCAGCCUCGCCGUAGCUCGCUCCCCUGCCGUGCGUGUUAUCCCCUGCUCAAUUGAGCAGAGGUAAAUCACCUCUUUAUUACAGUAUUUGAUUUCUUAUUAUAGUUUGCAAAUUCGAAGCCCAAGUUGAUGCUGUUAUUGUUGUUGUUGCUCUGUUGUUUGUUGUUGUUAUUGGUUCGUUGUUGUUGCUGUUGGGCAAAUGCUACUGCCGUCCCAUUCUCUCUCCGCCGAAAUUUUGUUGGUGCUGGGUGUGGGUGAUGCCAACUAAGCCAACGCUAGUACUAGAAUUUGCAGGUUGGUGUAAAGAGCUCGAGAAUGGAAGUGAAUCAAGAUUAUGAUGUCGUCGUAGAUUAUGGAUUAAGUUUGUAUUUAGAUAGCUGAUUCAGGAAUAGUUAUAUAUUUCGUUGUAUACAAUAUUUGGGAAUAUUAGUCGAGUCAUUGGUGUAUUUAAUUAUAUGUUUCCGCUGCGAAGUAAUUUACUUAAGAGUUAAUUGUUGUUUAUGGUUGUCGAGUGUGUUUCAUUAGCAGCUCAGAAGAGCAGGCUGUUACAAGAUGGUAUCAGAGCAACCUUGCGACCAUAUGCCUAGUUGGCUACCUAGCGAGGGUAAAAGAUUCUUGGGAUUGUUUGAAAUUGAUUUGGGAUUAUUAGUGAUUAAGAAUUGAUGAUCGGAAAUUAGGAAAUUCGAAGGUUUAGUGUUUAAGUGUUUGCGCUUUUGCGUGUGCUAUAUAAUUUCGUUUAUGAAGGUGUAUUAUCUUGUAUUGUCUAUGAUAUGUGUUUCGAGAAAAUUGUAUGAUUUGUUGAAGUAAAAGAAUUUCAAACGACAUCUCUACGAAUGAGAUGACUGGAAUCUUAUUCCGAAAAUUUGGCCCUUUCUGUUUUCUUUGCUCCUCGAUUUUGAUAUUGAGUUGAAGUGGAGAUAUAUACAGAAGCUGAUGGUAGAAUUGCGGUUGGACGCCUGAUAUCUUACAAAUUGAGAUUUUUGUUUUAUAUAAAUUAUUAUUUUCAAGUUUCGAGGACGAAACUUUAAAUAAGAGUGGUAGUAUGUAAUAGCCUUGUUUUUAAGAGCGUUUAUUUAAACGUUAAGUAAAAUUAUUAAGUUAAUUAUGUUUCGAAAAUUCUUAUUUUAUUUGAGUUGUGGAAUGUGUUUUUUUUAUUUGAUUAUAUGACACUAUUUCUAUUAUUAUUAUUUUGUAUUUUGGGUUUUAUGCAAUUAGUUGAGCAAUAUUUGGCCAAAUUAGAAACCAAGUUGUUUUUUUCGUGGGAAUUCAUGAGGUCUGUUUCCUCUAGUCUUCUCGUUGCUUCUGUAAUUGGGAAACAAAAACCCUUCUUCCUUUCUCUCUCUUUCCCGUGGUACACACAAAACCCCAAUCCCAUGGAAAACCCGAAAAGCCUUUCUUCCUUUCUCUUCUCGCCUGACGUCGCCGAAGUUUUCCUAUCUCGCCGGCGUCUUUAGUUCACCGGAGCCGCGUCGACCGCCAGUGCUUUGCUUUGCUCUCUCCCUCUUCGUCCUCCUCACGCUUGCCUUGUUUGUCAAUGUUCGUUGGUAUGCUGCUGUUCGCCGGUGGACGUCGGUUGUCAGGCUGCUGUUGUCCGUGGUCGAUGGUGUUGCGCACCACUACUGUCAAUGCUUACACCCUCGCCGUAGCUCGCUCCCCUGCCGUGCGUGUUAUCCCCUGCUCAAGUGAGCAGUGGUAAAUCACCUCCUUGUUUUUAGUAUUUGAUUUCUUAUUACAGUUUGCAAAUUCGAAGCCAAAUUUGAUGAUGUUAUUGUUGUUGUUGCUCUGUUGUUUGUUGUUGUUAUUGGUUCGUCGUUGUUGUUGUUGGGCUACUGCUACUGCUGUCCCAUUCUUUCUCCUCCGGAAAUCUGUUGGUGCUGGGUGUGGGUGAUGCCACACUAACACUAGUAGAGAAAAACGAAAGGGUUGCGGUUAAAAUAGGCCUAAGGGCCGCGUUUUUGGCCAGAAGCCCUUCACUAAAAGUGAAGGGCUGCGUUUUAGGCCCAAAACCGCAGCCCUUCCAUGCAACCCUUCUUUGUAUAAAGGGAUGCGGUUUUGGGCCUCGAACGCAACCCUUCUUUGUAUAAAGGGCUGCGGUUUUGACCAUAACCGCAACCCUUUUGACCCAAAACAAAAUUUUUUUUUGGCAAUGUUUAACUCCUAAAUAUAUUAAGAAAUUUACAACAGGAAAAAUCAAAAAACGAAUCAACAAACAAACAAAACGAAACAAUCAACAAGAACAUCAAAUUACAAUUUACAGUAAAAAAAAUAAAGAGAACAAUUUAAGGCAUUAACUAUUAAAAAAACGAACAACAAUAAUAAUCGAAAUUAUAUAUCAACAAGAACGAACGAAAAUAAAAAGACGAAAUUACAUAACAACAAGAACAAUUGAAAUUUAUAGAUCUGAAAAAAAAAUUAUUGUCGAAAUUUAUAGAUCUUAAAAAAUAAAAAAACGAAAUUAAAUAUCAACCAGAAAAAUGAACGAAAAUGAAAAAAAACAAAAAUGAAAAAACAAACGAAAAUGAAAAAAAACGAACAUGGAAAUUACAGAUCAUGAUGAAACUGAAACCGUAAACUAAACUGAUUCACAAUGUAUGUCAAUCCAAAAACUUCAGCUUGGGUUUGAGAACGUACCAUAUUUUCGCAGGCUACAGAGAAGGAUUAUAUAUUAGUCUAUUAGAACUAUGAGUAACAUUUAAAGCACAAGGGACUAAAUUAGUGCCUACCAUAUUCCUGCGACCAAAAUUGAAAAAUUUGAGGAGUAUUUUUCUAGAAAUGCUCAGAAAAUCUCAUUUCCCAGUCAAUAUUCUGGCAUAAUUUCAUCCUUAACCAUCAAACCUGGUUCUUAUGAUGGUUAAGGAUGAAAUUAUGCCAGAAUACUGACUGGUGGUCUGCGCAAAUGCCUGCGAGAGACGAAGGAGGUUGAGCGUCUAUAGCCGGCGAAGAGGAGUUUGUGGUGAAAAUUUGUUAGAGUGAGGAGAGAGAAAGAUGAGGGCCGCUCAAUGAAAAUAAUGCAUGAGAGAGUUUCAUUGAUUAUAAAGUGCGGGUUGCAUUGUUUUAACCUAAGCCCAUUAGCCCGCGAGAAUUAAUUGUAAAGGGCUGCAUUUUUUAAAAAGCGAAGCCCUUUAUUACUUAAAGGGUUGCAUUUUUGCAUUGACCGCAGCCCUUCGUUCGUGAAGGCCUGCGGAUUUUGGGCUAACCGCAGCCCUUCACUAUUAAGGGCUGCGUUUUUAGAAAAACGCAGCCCUUGCAUCGCAUCCAUUCCGUUUUUUCCCCUAGUGUAAGCCGACGAUAGUACUAGGUAGUUUUUUUGUCUUAUUUUCAUCUUGUGGAUUUUCUGUUGUUAAAUUGUAAAUGUAAUUGAUGUUAUUGUUUGGGUUUUGAUAAUUGUCUUGCAACAUGAUUUCUUCAUUGUUUUGCAAAAAGUUCAUCUAUUUCAAUUUGAAAUCAGAUUUAAGUAUGUUAGAAACAUUAUUUGUAUUUGUGUCUGAUUAGAUUUGUUUCAAGAAACUUAGUUGUUAUGGAGUUGUUGCUCCGUCUUUCUGUUUUCUUAUGGAUGUUCUUAUUAGUUUAAGUAAGUUGUUAGCUUUUGGUUUGAUUUAUUUCAGUAAUUAAGAAUUAUGAGUUGUUUUGGGAAGUUUAGAAUUGGCUAUUGAUUGUGGUUGUUGGAUUGAGUCUUAAUUUUAGUUAGAUUUAUGUUUCUAAGAUGUAGAUUCGGUUUAAAGAAUUUAAGAUUUAGACUUUGGAAUUAUGGUUGUAAAGGAUUUCAAUAUUGGGAAUUAGUUGUGAUUAUGAUUUCUAGUUUAGAUUAGUCUAAAUUUGGUAAUUGAUUAUUGUUAAUUAUUGUGAGGUGAUUCUGGGAAGAUGAUUCUGGAGUGAAGAAUCAUUCGGGAUUAUGAAGUUGAUUGUGUUGUUGGAAUUUGGAAUGCGUUCAGAAGCUUCUCUUGCGUACAUAAAAGAAACCGACCCAGAGAUGGCCGAGCGAUUGACUUCUGCGACUCUGAAGGCGGCUCGGAUCUGUGCCAAGUUGAACGUUAAGACAAUGAAGAAAGCCGGUUGCGCCUAAGGUAUUUUCGUCCGAGCCCAUCUUUUCGUGUUUUUUACUAACACUUGAGUUUUUCAGGACCCGGCCAAUCCAAAACCUAAGAAGCGCAAGGAGCGGGCCGAUGACAAGUUUGCUUUGACUAAGAAGGCUUUGGCCAAGGCUAAGGCAGAGAAGGAGGCUGCCAAGAAGGCGAAGCAAAUAUUAAUGCUUCGGUCGAGGUUAACAGCCCCCGAGAGGGGUCCUGGGAAGGCGAGACAGACAUAUCGCUGCAUGCGUCUGACUUCGUCCCUGUUGGUAGCUCAGUAUAUACCCCUACUCCUUCCCAGACCGACAGAACAACGACUGAGGCGGUCGUCCCUUUUACAAAAAUGUCCAAAUAAAUCUUAACAGUUUUCCAUCAGAAUGACCAAUGUUGCGGAGAACCGCAUACAUUUGUUCGAGGAGGUCAAGGAGUUUAGGGACAAGGAGAAGAAGCACUACGACUCCAUAUGGACAACGAAGGAGGAGAAGCGCGGCUUGCCGAGGCCCGACUGGAUGAGGCCAACAAGAGAAUCGAGAAGGGGGAAGUCGCUUGGAAGACCGAGCGGGACGACUCGGAGAAGGAGAAGAACAAGCUUGAAAUAACCAAGUCCAGCGCCGAGCUCACCGAGACUGAUGCUGAGGCCAAGGUUCCCCAGAUCCAGGCUGAUUUGGAUCGGAUUAAAUUCAAACUGAACACGGUCGAGGCGCAACUGAAGGAUGCCGAGGCGCAGCAGAAAGGAGGUCGAGGAGAAGGCCUUCUAGUCCGAGGAGCAAUGGUUCGCUCAGUGGCAGGCUUCCGAGGCUGGCGAUGAUUAUAACGUCGAGGUUAGCCAAAGCUGCAUUUUGUUAAUUGCAAUCUUCUAUUUUAUAUAGAAAUGCGCAAGUAAUAUUUUUACAAGUAAUAUGUUUCCACAAGCAAUGAAUUAUAAAAGGACUGAAUGGACUGGCUAAGUCCCAUUCGUAUUUAAUGAACGAUAGGGACUGGUUAAGUCAUGUUGCUUACAAACAGUAGCUUAGUAGACUGGUUAAAUCCGACUUAGUACCAAUAAUGCCGGAAUAGCUACAAAAGGACUAGUCAAGUCUUGUUGCUUACAAAAUGAGUUGAGUGGACUUGCUAAGUCCGACUUAGUACUAACAAUGCCGAAUUGCCAUAUUUCUUCGCUAUGGAAUAUCUUUAGCCCGUGCCUCCAUUGCAAGUGACAAAAGCUACACAUAGAAUUUCUUAAGGUUGUCAACAUUCCAUAGUCGGGCCAACGGGACCCCUUCGGGUGAUUCUAACCGGAAUGUGUCGAGUUUGAUGAUCUUGUCACUUAGUAAGGUCCAUCCCAAUUCGCCCCCUGUUUCCCUUUAAGGUGCGAUAGCCCAGUAGCUUCCACUUUCCGAACGACCCAGUCUCGAGUCGGAUUGGUUUGGCCUUUACUCGUCUGUUGAAGUGCCGAGUAAUAUUUUCCUUGUACCGAAUGGAUCGCAACAAGGCGUUGCCUCGGUUUUCAAGUAGCAAAUCCAAGUUACACUACAAGAAUAACGCUCAUCAACGACGGGAAAUCUUGUUGUUAAUGGAGCUUUUCUCGUCGCAGACGCCUUUUACGACGAGAUUUCCGUCCCGUCGUCCCCGGUCGCAAAAGGCUCCGU